CAGUCGAGCGAAUCGAUGGGAGCUUGCUCCCUGAGAUUAGCGGCGGACGGGUGAGUAACACGUGGGCAACCUGCCUAUAAGACUGGGAUAACUUCGGGAAACCGGAGCUAAUACCGGAUACGUUCUUUUCUCGCAUGAGAGAAGAUGGAAAGACGGUUUACGCUGUCACUUAUAGAUGGGCCCGCGGCGCAUUAGCUAGUUGGUGAGGUAAUGGCUCACCAAGGCGACGAUGCGUAGCCGACCUGAGAGGGUGAUCGGCCACACUGGGACUGAGACACGGCCCAGACUCCUACGGGAGGCAGCAGUAGGGAAUCUUCCGCAAUGGACGAAAGUCUGACGGAGCAACGCCGCGUGAACGAAGAAGGCCUUCGGGUCGUAAAGUUCUGUUGUUAGGGAAGAACAAGUACCAGAGUAACUGCUGGUACCUUGACGGUACCUAACCAGAAAGCCACGGCUAACUACGUGCCAGCAGCCGCGGUAAUACGUAGGUGGCAAGCGUUGUCCGGAAUUAUUGGGCGUAAAGCGCGCGCAGGUGGUUCCUUAAGUCUGAUGUGAAAGCCCACGGCUCAACCGUGGAGGGUCAUUGGAAACUGGGGAACUUGAGUGCAGAAGAGGAAAGUGGAAUUCCAAGUGUAGCGGUGAAAUGCGUAGAGAUUUG
Molecule: ribosomal RNA, 658 nt
Filed under: Peribacillus simplex
Lineage: Bacteria; Bacillati; Bacillota; Bacilli; Caryophanales; Bacillaceae
Description: bacterial SSU rRNA
Rfam family: Bacterial small subunit ribosomal RNA
Source: RNAcentral